CUAAGGCUCCAGAGGAAGCCACGGCUAACUCUGUGCCAGCAGCCGCGGUAAUACAGAGGCGGCAAGCGUUGUUCGGAAUUAUUGGGCGUAAAGAGCACGUAGGCGGCCUUGCAAGUCAGUUGUGAAAGCCUUCCGCUUAACGGAAGAAUGCCAGCUGAUACUACAGGGCUUGGGUACGGGAGGGGAGAGUGGAACUUCUGGUGGAGCGGUGAAAUGCGUAGAUAUCAGAAGGAACGCCGGCGGCGAAAGCGACUCUCUGGCCCGAAACUGACGCUGAGUGUGCGAAAGCUAGGGGAGCAAACGGGAUUAGAUACCCCGGUAGUCCUAGCCGUAAA
Molecule: ribosomal RNA, 335 nt
Filed under: uncultured Planctomycetales bacterium
Lineage: Bacteria; Pseudomonadati; Planctomycetota; Planctomycetia; Planctomycetales
Description: bacterial SSU rRNA
Rfam family: Bacterial small subunit ribosomal RNA
Source: RNAcentral